Molecule: small RNA, 229 nt
Filed under: Arabidopsis thaliana (thale cress)
Lineage: Eukaryota; Viridiplantae; Streptophyta; Magnoliopsida; Brassicales; Brassicaceae
Description: ATSL161020
Source: RNAcentral
UUCUCUCUCGUUUUCUCUCGCGUCUCCGACGCCGUGUCUUCUUCUCCGGCAGACCUCCUUUUCUCCAGCGGACCUCCUCUUCUCCGUCUGCUGUUCUUCUUCUCCUUUGCUGUCUUCUCCGUUCUUCUUUGCCGUCUUGUUCUAGUAAACCCUAAUCGAGUCUUUUCUCUUCUCCGGCGAGUUGCCGAUCUCCGCCGUGUCUUCUUCCCACCGUCGGUUUCUAACCAAA